AGCUCCAAUAGCGUAUAUUUAAGUUGUUGCAGUUAAAAAGCUCGUAGUUGGAUUUCGGGUAGCCUUCAGCGGUCUCGCUUUGCGUUUGUACUGCUGCAGCCUGCCUUCUUGUCGGGGACGGGUUCACGGGCUUUAUUGCUUGGGACUCGGAGUCGGCGAUGUUACUUUGAGUAAAUUAGAGUGUUCAAAGCAGGCUUAGGCCGUUGGAUACAUUAGCAUGGAAUAAUGAGAUAGGGCCACCGCGGUCUAUUUUGUUGGUUUGCACGUUGUGGUAAUGAUUAACAGGAACGGUUGGGGGUAUUCGUAUUCAAUUGUCAGAGGUGAAAUUCUUGGAUUUGUGGAAGACGAACUACUGCGAAAGCAUUUACCAAGGAUGUUUUCAUUAAUCAAGAACGAAAGU
Molecule: ribosomal RNA, 400 nt
Filed under: phytoplankton environmental sample
Lineage: Eukaryota
Description: partial small subunit ribosomal RNA
Rfam family: Eukaryotic small subunit ribosomal RNA
Source: RNAcentral